Molecule: ribosomal RNA, 301 nt
Filed under: uncultured bacterium
Lineage: Bacteria
Description: partial 16S ribosomal RNA
Rfam family: Bacterial small subunit ribosomal RNA
Source: RNAcentral
CAGUAGCCGCGGUAAUACGGAGGGAGCUAGCGUUGUUCGGAAUUACUGGGCGUAAAGCGCACGUAGGCGGUUAUUCAAGUCAGAGGUGAAAGCCCGGGGCUCAACCCCGGAACUGCCUUUGAAACUAGAUGACUGGAAUCUUGGAGAGGUCAGUGGAAUUCCGAGUGUAGAGGUGAAAUUCGUAGAUAUUUGGAAGAACACCAGUGGCGAAGGCGACUGACUGGACAAGUAUUGACGCUGAGGUGCGAAAGCGUGGGGAGCAAACAGGAUUAGAGACCCCGGUAGUCCCUGUCUCUUAUAC